RNAcentral lists this non-coding RNA (45 nucleotides) under Trichobilharzia regenti. The record is from RNAcentral. Lineage: Eukaryota; Metazoa; Platyhelminthes; Trematoda; Strigeidida; Schistosomatidae.
AUCCGGGUGACGAGUCCCAAAUAGGACGAAAUGCGCAUCCCGGAU